ACUCCUACGGGAGGCAGCAGUGGGAAGUAUUGACAAUGGGCGAAAGCCUGAUCCAGCCAUGCCGCGUGUGUGAAGAAGGUCUUCGGAUUGUAAAGCACUUUAAGUUGGGAGGAAGGGCAGUAAGUUAAUACCUUGCUGUUUGACGUUACCAACAGAAUAAGCACCGGCUAACUUCGUGCCAGCAGCCGCGGUAAUACGAAGGGUGCAAGCGUUAAUCGGAAUUACUGGGCGUAAAGCGCGCGUAGGUGGUUCGUUAAGUUGGAUGUGAAAGUCCCGGCUGCAACCUGGGAACUGCAUCCAAAACUGGCGAGCUAGAGUAUGGCAGAGGGUGGUGGAAUUUCCUGUGUAGCGGUGAAAUGCGUAGAUAUAGGAAGGAACACCAGUGGCGAAGGCGACCACCUGGGCUAAUACUGACACUGAGGUGCGAAAGCGUGGGAGCAAACAGGAUUAGAUACCCU
This 458-nucleotide ribosomal RNA is filed under the name uncultured bacterium. Its description in RNAcentral is "bacterial SSU rRNA". It matches the Rfam family "Bacterial small subunit ribosomal RNA", at positions 335 to 788 of the family's 1533-position model. The record is from RNAcentral.